RNAcentral lists this ribosomal RNA (301 nucleotides) under uncultured bacterium. RNAcentral describes it as "partial 16S ribosomal RNA". It matches the Rfam family "Bacterial small subunit ribosomal RNA", at positions 509 to 807 of the family's 1533-position model. The record is from RNAcentral.
CAGUCGCCGCGGUAAUACGGAGGGGGCUAGCGUUGUUCGGAAUUACUGGGCGUAAAGCGCACGUAGGUGGCUUGGUAAGUUAGAGGUGAAAGCCCGGAGCUCAACUCCGGAAUUGCCUUUAAGACUGCCGAGCUAGUAGGUGAGAGAGGUAAGUGGAAUUCCGAGUGUAGAGGUGAAAUUCGUAGAUAUCCGGAAGAACACCAGUGGCGAAGGCGGCUUACUGGCUCAUUCUAGACGCUGAGGUGCGAAAGCGUGGGGAGCAAACAGGAUUAGAUACCCCCGUAGUCCCUGUCUCUUAUAC